This is a long non-coding RNA of Xyrauchen texanus (razorback sucker), 674 nucleotides long. RefSeq lists it as uncharacterized. The record is from RefSeq and is a predicted model, not a curated record. Lineage: Eukaryota; Metazoa; Chordata; Actinopteri; Cypriniformes; Catostomidae. The transcript has 3 exons.
GUAGGGGGCGCUCUAACACAUUUUACCCCUCACAGAUAAGAACUGUAGGGGGCGCUCUAACGCAUUAUACCCCUCACAGAUGUGAACUGUAGGGGGCGCUCUAACACAUUUUACCCCUCACAGAUGUGAACUGUAGGUGGCGCUCUAACACAUUAUACCCCUCACAGAUGUGAACUGUAGGUGGCGCUCUAACACAUUAUACCCCUCACAGAUGUGAACUGUAGGGGGCGCUCUAACACAUUUGACCCCUCACAGAUGUGAACUGUAGGGGGCGCUCUAACACAUUUUACCCCUCACAGAUGUGAACUGUAGGGGGCGCUCUAACACAUUAUACCCCUCACAGAUGUGAACUGUAGGGGGCGCUCUAUCACAUUAUACCCCUCACAGAUGUGAACUGUAGGGGGCGCUCUAACACAUUAUACCCCUCACAGAUGUGAACUGUAGGGGGCGCUCUAACACAUUAUACCCCUCACAGAUGUGAACUGUAGGGGGCGCUCUAACACAUUAUACCCCUCACAGAUGUGAACUGUAGGGGCUUCUCUAACACAUUUUACCCCUCACAGAUGUGAACUGUAGGGGGCGCUCUAACACAUUAUACCCCUCACAGAUGUGAACUGUAGGGGCUUCUCUAACACAUUUUACCCCUCACAGAUGUGAACUGUAGGUGGCGCUCU